UGAGUGUUACGAUGAUGGUCCUAUGAAGUAGGACUUAGUCUAGCUCUGGUCUACCGCUGUGCCGUCGGAGUACAGCGG
This is a regulatory RNA element of Streptococcus sp. DD12, 78 nucleotides long. It matches the Rfam family "L17 ribosomal protein downstream element". Lineage: Bacteria; Bacillati; Bacillota; Bacilli; Lactobacillales; Streptococcaceae. The record is from Rfam.